Molecule: long non-coding RNA, 2078 nt
Organism: Eriocheir sinensis (Chinese mitten crab)
Lineage: Eukaryota; Metazoa; Arthropoda; Malacostraca; Decapoda; Varunidae
Exons: 3
Source: RefSeq, a predicted model, not a curated record
CUUAUCCCGUAAACAGUCGCCUCUUAACACAGUCGACGGUUGUUGUGCCCACAGGCCUGUUUCCCCGCGCUGCUCGCCCGCCCUGCCAUAUUUUAAACUAUCACGUCGAGGCUUGAAGCUCAAAUCUGUUCAAGCAGCGUUUUUCCAUCCGCAUCACGCCCCUGAUUGUGCUUCUCCGGCCACCGCUGUGUUUGUUGCCUGCCUCCCGCCCUCCUCCUCCUCCUCCGUAUUAGGUCUCCUGCUUCACGACCCUUUGCUGUUACGAAGGGAAAGAAGAAUGGACACGACACCUCAAGCCUCAACACUGCAUGGUGGAGGAAGACAUGGAUGCCCUUAUGACCAAACCAAACUGGGAGGAUCUUACAGACAUUCAGGAGAGUAAUUUCACCACCACCACCACCACCACCACUACCCACACAAAUAUAUCCGUCAUACUAAUGCAAAAAAGUUAACCAGUAUACUCUCACUCAUUCAUCCAUCUCACUGGCAUACACUUUAGAAGCCUCCCUGAUAUUGUUUUCCUAUACGAGAUGUCAUUUAUUACCAACUCAAAAAACAACGUCACCUUCUAAACUGUUUUCACCUCCUAGUUGCACAUAAUUCCCUUCCCGUUACUAAUUUUUCUUGACACACUUACGCCACGCUAUUCCUAACAGAGAGAAUGAAUGUUGAAUAUAGUCAUAAGCCCAGUUACUUAUACGCCAUGCUAUUACUUAUAACAGAGAAAAUGAAUGUUGGAUGUAGUCAUUAGCCCACAGAAAGGGUUCACAAAAAGCUCGAAGGGAAAAAGAUAUGAAAUUGGGUCGUAUUUUAAAACAUUUCGUCGCCCAAGUUCACAUAUUUGGCAAGGCUUUCGCAGGAGUUUUGAACAUUUCCAGGGGUAGUUAUAUAACCCUGAUGGUAGCUUGACCCUUCUUCAGUAGCAUGAACCUAACAAAACACUCAUUAGAACCUGACUGACCCCCUCUUUGACCUUUAGAAAUAGCUGAUGUGAGAACCCAAAGUGCCUUAUAAUACCGGCCAUUGUUAGAACCGAUGCUAAAGGAAAGAAUAUUGUUAGAACUGAUACGAAGGGAAUGGAUUAGAGUUUAUAAUAUGGGUUUUAGGAUAUUUCAUGGAGUGUUGCUAUCCACCUUAAGCUAACAAAUCUCUUCUCAAGGUAAAUUUAAUCAUGUCAGGCGUCAUCCUCAGUGUCUUGGUCUUUUUAAUGGCGCAGCGUGUUUUGGUCAUUUUUCCUUCACCCUGUUUAUCCCUCGGAGCGUCUGAUGAACCACAAAAAGAAACGGCCUUGUAAAAUUCUUCACUUCCCUUGUACUUUUUUUUUUUUAGGAGCAGCAUGUCGCGAGCGUUUCUUUUCGUCCUUUCCUUUCCCUCUCGAUCUGCCACCUUUUCCACACACACACACACACACACACACACACACACACACACCUAUACACGCCCUGCACAACACAGCCUCGCCAGCCAUUACGACGCCAACGCACAGUCGCCAUCGUAUCUCCGGCGCUGAAUAUUCAUCGAGUAAUUGGAAGGAUUAUAUAGAUGGACAAUGGAGGAAUAGAAUCGUUCGGGCGGGGAUCACGGAACUGCCAACCCCGCAUCCGUCUUCAGAAGAACGAGGAAGCAGUCGCAUGAGGAUUAUCCACAACAUGUCCUCGAUGGAAUUCAAUGACAGAAGGACUAAGCGAAGGGAAUCCAGUGUCACCAUGCAGCCUUCCAAGCCCCAACAAAAUCCCUAACUUGGCCCAUCACGGCAGCCACAACUCAAGAACACGAAGAAAGAAAUCGGCGCACGGCAUUAGGCGCAGCAGAUACACGCCGCCGCGAUGUAUAGAUUCGCACUUUGCAGGGAAAAACGCCGCAACUUUCCGGAUUAUGUUGACCUUUUGUUGGCCACACGCUGCGUUCGUCUGGACAGUUCGCGCGGGAAAGUCACUCCGGCUAAGGUUGUGGUAAACUUUGUCGCGGUUUUUAUUUCGCACGGAACAUUAGCCCAAAAAGUUGGUUCCUUGCUGGUGGUCUGGAGUGGCAAGGAAAGUGGAGGUGGUGGCGGCGGUGCUGGUGAUGCAGUGGUGAUG